RNAcentral lists this ribosomal RNA (259 nucleotides) under uncultured bacterium. RNAcentral's name for it is "partial 16S ribosomal RNA". It matches the Rfam family "Bacterial small subunit ribosomal RNA", at positions 96 to 353 of the family's 1533-position model. The record is from RNAcentral.
UGGCGGACGGGUGAGUAACGCGUGGGUAACCUGCCUUAUACAGGGGGAUAACAGUCAGAAAUGGCUGCUAAUACCGCAUAAGCGCACAGAGCUGCAUGGCUCGGUGUGAAAAACUCCGGUGGUAUAAGAUGGACCCGCGUUGGAUUAGCUUGUUGGUGGGGUAACGGCCCACCAAGGCGACGAUUGGUAGCCGGACUGAGAGGUUGAACGGCCACAUUGGGACUGAGACACGGCCCAGACUCCUACGGGAGGCAGCAUG